This 1562-nucleotide ribosomal RNA is filed under the name Vibrio alginolyticus. RNAcentral describes it as "bacterial SSU rRNA". It matches the Rfam family "Bacterial small subunit ribosomal RNA". Lineage: Bacteria; Pseudomonadati; Pseudomonadota; Gammaproteobacteria; Vibrionales; Vibrionaceae. The record is from RNAcentral.
AAAUUGAAGAGUUUGAUCAUGGCUCAGAUUGAACGCUGGCGGCAGGCCUAACACAUGCAAGUCGAGCGGAAACGAGUUAUCUGAACCUUCGGGGAACGAUAACGGCGUCGAGCGGCGGACGGGUGAGUAAUGCCUAGGAAAUUGCCCUGAUGUGGGGGAUAACCAUUGGAAACGAUGGCUAAUACCGCAUGAUGCCUACGGGCCAAAGAGGGGGACCUUCGGGCCUCUCGCGUCAGGAUAUGCCUAGGUGGGAUUAGCUAGUUGGUGAGGUAAGGGCUCACCAAGGCGACGAUCCCUAGCUGGUCUGAGAGGAUGAUCAGCCACACUGGAACUGAGACACGGUCCAGACUCCUACGGGAGGCAGCAGUGGGGAAUAUUGCACAAUGGGCGCAAGCCUGAUGCAGCCAUGCCGCGUGUGUGAAGAAGGCCUUCGGGUUGUAAAGCACUUUCAGUCGUGAGGAAGGUGGUGUAGUUAAUAGCUGCAUUAUUUGACGUUAGCGACAGAAGAAGCACCGGCUAACUCCGUGCCAGCAGCCGCGGUAAUACGGAGGGUGCGAGCGUUAAUCGGAAUUACUGGGCGUAAAGCGCAUGCAGGUGGUUUGUUAAGUCAGAUGUGAAAGCCCGGGGCUCAACCUCGGAAUAGCAUUUGAAACUGGCAGACUAGAGUACUGUAGAGGGGGGUAGAAUUUCAGGUGUAGCGGUGAAAUGCGUAGAGAUCUGAAGGAAUACCGGUGGCGAAGGCGGCCCCCUGGACAGAUACUGACACUCAGAUGCGAAAGCGUGGGGAGCAAACAGGAUUAGAUACCCUGGUAGUCCACGCCGUAAACGAUGUCUACUUGGAGGUUGUGGCCUUGAGCCGUGGCUUUCGGAGCUAACGCGUUAAGUAGACCGCCUGGGGAGUACGGUCGCAAGAUUAAAACUCAAAUGAAUUGACGGGGGCCCGCACAAGCGGUGGAGCAUGUGGUUUAAUUCGAUGCAACGCGAAGAACCUUACCUACUCUUGACAUCCAGAGAACUUUCCAGAGAUGGAUUGGUGCCUUCGGGAACUCUGAGACAGGUGCUGCAUGGCUGUCGUCAGCUCGUGUUGUGAAAUGUUGGGUUAAGUCCCGCAACGAGCGCAACCCUUAUCCUUGUUUGCCAGCGAGUAAUGUCGGGAACUCCAGGGAGACUGCCGGUGAUAAACCGGAGGAAGGUGGGGACGACGUCAAGUCAUCAUGGCCCUUACGAGUAGGGCUACACACGUGCUACAAUGGCGUAUACAGAGGGCGGCCAACUUGCGAAAGUGAGCGAAUCCCAAAAAGUGCGUCGUAGUCCGGAUUGGAGUCUGCAACUCGACUCCAUGAAGUCGGAAUCGCUAGUAAUCGUGGAUCAGAAUGCCACGGUGAAUACGUUCCCGGGCCUUGUACACACCGCCCGUCACACCAUGGGAGUGGGCUGCAAAAGAAGUAGGUAGUUUAACCUUCGGGGGGACGCUUACCACUUUGUGGUUCAUGACUGGGGUGAAGUCGUAACAAGGUAGCGCUAGGGGAACCUGGCGCUGGAUCACCUCCUUAAACGAUGAU